This 287-nucleotide unclassified non-coding RNA is filed under the name Hevea brasiliensis (rubber tree). Lineage: Eukaryota; Viridiplantae; Streptophyta; Magnoliopsida; Malpighiales; Euphorbiaceae. The record is from RNAcentral.
UGGAAUGAAGGUCCCACAGUUGACUCCUUCGAGAAUAAGACUUCUCUCUAUGAGCAGAACAUUUAGUAGUUCAAAAGCAAGUGACCGACUAGGAUACGCACCUAUCGUCACUCUUCAGGAGGGCAUAAGGAGGACCAUCGAAUCCUAUCCACAUCUGAGAGCUGAACACGGGUCGGGAAAGGAUGGUCCUAAAUCAUCUGCAUCUCUUAAACGGUUUUUCCUCCUGGUGAUUUUCUUUCUAUUAAUUCUAAGCGUACUUGGGAUCAUUUCACCAUGGAGUUUUUUCG